GAUGAACGCUGGCGGCGUGCCUAACACAUGCAAGUCGAGCGGCAGCGCGAGUAGUUUACUACUCGGCGGCGAGCGGCGAACGGCUGAGUAACGCGUGGGAAUUUGCCCCAAAGUGAGGAAUAACUGCCCGAAAGGGUGGCUAAUGCCGCAUAUGAUCUUCGGAUUAAAGGAUUUAUCCGCUUUGGGAGAAGCCCGCGUCGGAUUAGGUAGUUGGUGAGGUAAUGGCUCACCAAGCCGACGAUCCGUAGCUGGUCUGAGAGGAUGACCAGCCAGACUGGAACUGAGACACGGUCCAGACUCCUACGGGAGGCAGCAGUGAGGAAUCUUCCACAAUGGGCGAAAGCCUGAUGGAGCAACGCCGCGUGCAGGAUGAAGGCCUUCGGGUUGUAAACUGCUUUUAUAAGUGAGGAAUAUGACGGUAGCUUAUGAAUAAGGAUCGGCUAACUACGUGCCAGCAGCCGCGGUCAUACGUAGGAUCCGAGCGUUAUCCGGAGUGACUGGGCGUAAAGAGUUGCGUAGGCGGUUUGUUAAGUGAAUAGUGAAAUCUGGUGGCUCAACCAUACAGGCUAUUAUUCAAACUGGCAAACUCGAGAGUGGUAGAGGUCACUGGAAUUUCUUGUGUAGGAGUGAAAUCCGUAGAUAUAAGAAGGAACACCGAUGGCGUAGGCAGGUGACUGGACCAUUUCUGACGCUAAGGCACGAAAGCGUGGGGAGCGAACCGG
RNAcentral lists this ribosomal RNA (722 nucleotides) under uncultured Candidatus Saccharibacteria bacterium. RNAcentral's name for it is "bacterial SSU rRNA". It matches the Rfam family "Bacterial small subunit ribosomal RNA", at positions 28 to 776 of the family's 1533-position model. Lineage: Bacteria; Candidatus Saccharimonadota. The record is from RNAcentral.